RNAcentral lists this ribosomal RNA (500 nucleotides) under Agathemera millepunctata. Its description in RNAcentral is "partial 16S ribosomal RNA". It matches the Rfam family "Bacterial large subunit ribosomal RNA", at positions 1844 to 2608 of the family's 2925-position model. Lineage: Eukaryota; Metazoa; Arthropoda; Insecta; Phasmatodea; Agathemeridae. The record is from RNAcentral.
UAUUUGAGAUUUGACCUGCCCAAUGAUUGUUUUAAUGGCCGCGGUAUAUUGACCGUGCAAAGGUAGCAUAAUCAUUAGUUUAUUAAUUGUGGACUUGUAUGAAUGGUUGGACGAAAUAUUUACUGUCUCAUAUUGAUUUAUUGAAUUUAAUUUUUUUGUUAGAAAGCUUAAAUUUAUUUGUAGGACGAGAAGACCCUAUAGAUCUUUAUUAUUUGAAUUUUUAUUUUUUUUAGUUUAUUUUUAAAUAAUUUUUAAAAUUUUUUGGUUGGGGUGACAGGGGGAUUUAAUUAACUCUUUUAUAUUAUUUACAAUGAUUUUUGUUUAUUUGAUCUUUUAUUAUUGUUUACUAGAUUAGAUACCUUAGGGAUAACAGCGUAAUUCUAUUUGAGAGUUCAUAUCGACAAUGGAGAUUGCGACCUCGAUGUUGGAUUAAGGAUAUUUUUGGGUGUAGAUGUUCAAAAUUUAGGUCUGUUCGACCUUUAAAUUCUUACGUGAUCUGA